This 468-nucleotide ribosomal RNA is filed under the name uncultured bacterium. RNAcentral describes it as "partial 16S ribosomal RNA". It matches the Rfam family "Bacterial small subunit ribosomal RNA", at positions 28 to 507 of the family's 1533-position model. The record is from RNAcentral.
GACGAACGCUGGCGGCGUGCUUAACACAUGCAAGUCGAACGGUGAAGCUCCAGCUUGCUGGAGUUGAUCAUUGGCGAACGGGUGAGUAACACGUGAGCAACCUGCCCCUGACUCUGGAAUAAGCGCUGGAAACGGCGUCUAAUACUGGAUACGAUAAGGGUCCGCAUGGGCACUUUCUGGAAAGUUUUUCUGUUGGGGAUGGUCUCGCGGCCUAACAGCUUGUUGGUGUGGUAAUGGCUCACCAAGCCGACGGCGGGUACCCAGCCUGGGAGGGCGACCGGGGACACUGGGACUGCGAGACGGAGCAGACUGGAAUGGGAGGCAACAGUGGGGAAUAUUACCCAAUGGGAGAGAGCCUGAUGAGGCGACGUCGGGUGAGGAAUGACGUCUUUUGGGUUGAGAACCUCUGUAAGCAGAGAAGAAGCGAUAGUGACGGUACCUGAAGAAGAAGCACCGGCUAACUACGUG